GCUGUGAGCUGUGGUGUAGGUCACAGACACAGACUGGAUCUGGCGUUGCUGUGGCUGUGGCCUAGGCCCAUGGCUACAGCUCUGAUUCUACACCUAGGCUGGGAAACUCCAUAUGCCAUGAGUGUGGCCCUAAAAAGACAAAAUAAAUAAAUAAAUAAAUAAAUCUUAGUCAAUAAACUACCAGUUGUUUUUAUGUCUUUCCUUUGAAAUAUCAAAUGCUAUUAAAAUCAAGAUUAGAGACACUUAGAGUGUCUCAGUGUUUUCUGGGAACACCCGCAUCAGAAUCAGCUGGUGUGUUAAAAAUACAGAUCCCUGGGCCACCUCUCCAGUCCGACUAAAUCAGACUCUCUGCACCUUUAGCAAAUGUGUCAUACAGUUUUGUCAGACAUCAAUGUCUGAAAACCAAGUUUUCAAGAUGUGGGGUUUCUCUCAGGUCUUUGAGAAAAAUAAAGGAUAAAGAUGUCAGUUACCCAGCAGCAGGAGGAAGCAAGCAGCGAGCACGUGGAACGAGCCACAGGACAAUUGACCUGGUUCCUUCCGAAAGUCAAAGGCAUGUCCACCAGCUGAUAAACAGGGCGCAGCCGCGGCUACUUUGUAGCGGUUCGGGCCCGGCCCAGCCCGCGGCAGUGAAACCCGAUCUCGGACCGACCAUGAGCCUAAAGAGCCUGUGUCCGUUGUCCCCGGGUACAGAGGCCUGAGUUCUAAGCGCAGGUAUGUUCCCGUCCAUUGAGAGAAGUGAAAUGACCCGGGUCCGAGCACGUGGCCAAUGGCGACCGGAGGGUUCCCAGGCACGUGUUUGGUGCAAAGGCCAGAAUCCGGCUCUCCCUUAAUAUAAACAGGCUGGCCCCACCCGGAAGAACAGCUGCUUCUAGUAGGUUUUGGAAAGCAGUUAAACUGCUGAGGUCCACGAAUAUUGAGAGACAAGUGCAGGAAAUCUUAGCCCCCCAAAAUGCGCAAAUCACCCUUUCCUGUGCCCUUUUAAGGCUGACGUAGUGCCUUAAGAGGCUAACACAGAAGGGUAAAGUAAGUCUCCAUAAAACCCAAAGAAGAGAUGGUAAAACUCGUCUUUGGAGCCUGUCUGGAGUCACAGCUAAGCCAGAUUUGAGUUUGAGCACUUUUGUAAUAUAGAUAAUAGCAGAGUGAUAAAUUUAAAUUUUACCUUAGGUUUGAUGAAACUUUCAGGCCUGCGUUUUAGAUAGACCCUGCUGGGGAUACCAUCUGAUGUUUUCAGAUAGUUAAGGGAAUUUGGAUACUUUGGUCAUCUUUGAAUUCCGGCGCGGGAGCGGGGGAAAGAAAUUGUAGGUGAUGAAACGUAUACAAAAAGCUUUUUCUGGAUAUCCUUUGCCCAAACUGAAAAGAAUAUGUAUCUCAACAUCCUUUUUUUUUUUUUUUUUGCUAUUUGUUCAAAAGGUAAUUUUCAAACUUUUCUUUUUUUCAGGUUGAAAAGUACAGGUAGAAGCCACUGAAGCUGUAAAGCUCUGAUGCUGGUAUUUUAACUGACUUACACCAACUAUCACUCUGCAGUUUACAAUACACAAGAACCUUUAAUGAGGUCACAGUUCUCACGUAACUUGUAGCAACCUGGUGUCUGUGCAGUGGCUUAGAAGUUAGAGCAGUGGGAUCCUGCUGGUGGUUUAAUUCUCACAAGUCUGUGAAGAGGGUACUGUUUCUCUUUUUGCAUUUGAGGCAGUCACUUAA
Molecule: long non-coding RNA, 1698 nt
Filed under: Sus scrofa (pig)
Lineage: Eukaryota; Metazoa; Chordata; Mammalia; Artiodactyla; Suidae
Description: lncRNA (ENSSSCG00030032216.1)
Rfam family: Small nucleolar RNA SNORA26 (bases 971-1092)
Source: RNAcentral